AGCAUUGGGAAUUUGCGUCCKGUGUGGACCGUAGUCAUGGUUCCGUUUCUCAGGCACCCUCUCCGGAAUCGAACCCCAAUCCUCCGUUACCCGUCAGAGGCAAGGUAGUCCACUACACUACCUUCAACCUGAUAGGUGGUGAAUUCGUCCAACACCGCGCCGAAGCGCUUCCGUACAUUGGCCUGCGUCAACAA
Molecule: ribosomal RNA, 194 nt
Filed under: uncultured eukaryote
Lineage: Eukaryota
Description: partial 18S ribosomal RNA
Source: RNAcentral